RNAcentral lists this unclassified non-coding RNA (274 nucleotides) under uncultured Mortierella. RNAcentral describes it as "partial internal transcribed spacer 2". The record is from RNAcentral. Lineage: Eukaryota; Fungi; Mortierellomycota; Mortierellomycetes; Mortierellales; Mortierellaceae.
AACACCUCAAGUCGAGAGAUUAUUAUUAAUCACGAGACUUGGAUUUGAGUGAUCCUAAUAACGAGUCUCUUUCUUUUUUUCACAAAAAGAGGGGGACAAGUAGGCAGGUUACUUGAAAUUCAGGUGCAGCUGAACUUUUCUUCUGAGCUAAAAGCAUUAUUUAUUUAGUCUUUAUUGACUAUUACUUUUUUUUGCUGCAGCUAAUAUAAAGGGAGAAUAGCUUCAUUAUGGCUGACUGAUGCAGGAAUUUAUCAGUCUGUAAAAGGACUGUUAG